RNAcentral lists this ribosomal RNA (948 nucleotides) under bacterium enrichment culture. RNAcentral describes it as "bacterial SSU rRNA". It matches the Rfam family "Bacterial small subunit ribosomal RNA", at positions 8 to 971 of the family's 1533-position model. The record is from RNAcentral.
AGAGUUUGAUCCUGGCUCAGGACGAACGCUGGCGGCGUGCUUAACACAUGCAAGUCGAACGGAAAGGCCCUUCGGGGUGCUCGAGUGGCGAACGGGUGAGUAACACGUGGGUGAUCUGCCCUGCACUUUGGGAUAAGCCUGGGAAACUGGGUCUAAUACCGGAUAGGACCAUGGCCUUCAUGGGUUGUGGUGGAAAGCUUUUGCGGUGUGGGAUGGGCCCGCGGCCUAUCAGCUUGUUGGUGGGGUAAUGGCCUACCAAGGCGACGACGGGUAGCCGGCCUGAGAGGGUGACCGGCCACACUGGGACUGAGAUACGGCCCAGACUCCUACGGGAGGCAGCAGUGGGGAAUAUUGCACAAUGGGCGCAAGCCUGAUGCAGCGACGCCGCGUGGGGGAUGACGGCCUUCGGGUUGUAAACCUCUUUCAGCACAGACGAAGCGUGAGUGACGGUAUGUGCAGAAGAAGCACCGGCCAACUACGUGCCAGCAGCCGCGGUAAUACGUAGGGUGCGAGCGUUGUCCGGAAUUACUGGGCGUAAAGAGCUCGUAGGUGGUUUGUCGCGUUGUUCGUGAAAACUCACAGCUUAACUGUGGGCGUGCGGGCGAUACGGGCAGACUGGAGUACUGCAGGGGAGACUGGAAUUCCUGGUGUAGCGGUGGAAUGCGCAGAUAUCAGGAGGAACACCGGUGGCGAAGGCGGGUCUCUGGGCAGUAACUGACGCUGAGGAGCGAAAGCGUGGGGAGCGAACAGGAUUAGAUACCCUGGUAGUCCACGCCGUAAACGGUGGGUACUAGGUGUGGGUUUCCUUCCUUGGGAUCCGUGCCGUAGCUAACGCAUUAAGUACCCCGCCUGGGGAGUACGGCCGCAAGGCUAAAACUCAAAGGAAUUGACGGGGGCCCGCACAAGCGGCGGAGCAUGUGGAUUAAUUCGAUGCAACGCGAAGAACCU